RNAcentral lists this ribosomal RNA (253 nucleotides) under uncultured bacterium. RNAcentral's name for it is "partial 16S ribosomal RNA". It matches the Rfam family "Bacterial small subunit ribosomal RNA", at positions 524 to 776 of the family's 1533-position model. The record is from RNAcentral.
UACGGAGGGGACAAGUGUUACUCGUCAUAAUUGGGCGUAAAGGGUAUGCAGGUGGUUUUUUAAGUUAAGUGAAAAAGGUUUGAUCAAAAAAUCAUACAAAACAUUUAAUACUGGGAAACUUGAGUUUAAUAGAAGAAUAUGGUACUUAUAUUGUAGAGGUGCAAUUCUUGAAUAAUAUAAGGACCCUCAAAGGCGAAGGCAAUUUUUUAUGUUAAACUGACACUGAGGUACGAAAGCAUAGGGAGCAAACAGG